GAAAGAUUGGGAAGUUGAAAAAGCACAGGA
This 30-nucleotide non-coding RNA is filed under the name Cricetulus griseus (Chinese hamster). Lineage: Eukaryota; Metazoa; Chordata; Mammalia; Rodentia; Cricetidae. The record is from RNAcentral.